GCUUGUCUCAAAGAUUAAGCCAUGCAUGUGUAAGUAUAAAUAACUCUAUACUAUGAAACUGCGAAUGGCUCAUUAUAUCAGUUAUAGUUUAUUUGAUAAUACUUUACUACUAGGAUAACCGUAGUAAUUCUAGAGCUAAUACUUGCGUAAAAACCUGACUUCUGGAAGGGUUGUAUUUAUUAGAUGGAAACCAAUGCGGGGCAACCCGGAAUAUGGUGAUUCAUAAUAACUUUCGGAUCGUUUACGAUGCAUCAUUCAAGUUUCUGCCCUAUCAGCUUUGGAUGGUAGGGUAUUGGCCUACCAUGGCUUUAACGGGUAACGGAGAAUUAGGGUUCGAUUCCGGAGAGGGAGCCUGAGAAAUGGCUACCACAUCCAAGGAAGGCAGCAGG
RNAcentral lists this ribosomal RNA (389 nucleotides) under Ochromonas tuberculata. RNAcentral describes it as "partial small subunit ribosomal RNA". It matches the Rfam family "Eukaryotic small subunit ribosomal RNA", at positions 30 to 432 of the family's 1831-position model. Lineage: Eukaryota; Chrysophyceae; Chromulinales; Chromulinaceae. The record is from RNAcentral.